GAUGAACGCUGGCGGCGUGCCUAAUACAUGCAAGUCGAGCGAACAGACGAGGAGCUUGCUCCUCUGAUGUUAGCGGCGGACGGGUGAGUAACACGUGGAUAACCUACCUAUAAGACUGGGAUAACUUCGGGAAACCGGAGCUAAUACCGGAUAACAUGUUGAACCGCAUGGUUCAACAGUGAAAGACGGUCUUGCUGUCACUUAUAGAUGGAUCCGCGCCGCAUUAGCUAGUUGGUAAGGUAACGGCUUACCAAGGCAACGAUGCGUAGCCGACCUGAGAGGGUGAUCGGCCACACUGGAACUGAGACACGGUCCAGACUCCUACGGGAGGCAGCAGUAGGGAAUCUUCCGCAAUGGGCGAAAGCCUGACGGAGCAACGCCGCGUGAGUGAAGAAGGUCUUCGGAUCGUAAAACUCUGUUAUUAGGGAAGAACAAACGUGUAAGUAACUAUGCACGUCUUGACGGUACCUAAUCAGAAAGCCACGGCUAACUACGUG
This 497-nucleotide ribosomal RNA is filed under the name uncultured bacterium. Its description in RNAcentral is "partial 16S ribosomal RNA". It matches the Rfam family "Bacterial small subunit ribosomal RNA", at positions 28 to 507 of the family's 1533-position model. The record is from RNAcentral.